This 771-nucleotide ribosomal RNA is filed under the name bacterium. RNAcentral describes it as "bacterial SSU rRNA". It matches the Rfam family "Bacterial small subunit ribosomal RNA", at positions 69 to 849 of the family's 1533-position model. The record is from RNAcentral.
AUGAUCCGGUGCUUGCACCGGGGAUUAGUGGCGAACGGGUGAGUAACACGUGAGUAACCUGCCCUUAACUCUGGGAUAAGCCUGGGAAACUGGGUCUAAUACCGGAUAUGACUCCUCAUCGCAUGGUGGGGGGUGGAAAGCUUUAUUGUGGUUUUGGAUGGACUCGCGGCCUAUCAGCUUGUUGGUGAGGUAAUGGCUUACCAAGGCGACGACGGGUAGCCGGCCUGAGAGGGUGACCGGCCACACUGGGACUGAGACACGGCCCAGACUCCUACGGGAGGCAGCAGUGGGGAAUAUUGCACAAUGGGCGCAAGCCUGAUGCAGCGACGCCGCGUGAGGGAUGACGGCCUUCGGGUUGUAAACCUCUUUCAGUAGGGAAGAAGCGAAAGUGACGGUACCUGCAGAAGAAGCGCCGGCUAACUACGUGCCAGCAGCCGCGGUAAUACGUAGGGCGCAAGCGUUAUCCGGAAUUAUUGGGCGUAAAGAGCUCGUAGGCGGUUUGUCGCGUCUGCCGUGAAAGUCCGGGGCUCAACUCCGGAUCUGCGGUGGGUACGGGCAGACUAGAGUGAUGUAGGGGAGACUGGAAUUCCUGGUGUAGCGGUGAAAUGCGCAGAUAUCAGGAGGAACACCGAUGGCGAAGGCAGGUCUCUGGGCAUUAACUGACGCUGAGGAGCGAAAGCAUGGGGAGCGAACAGGAUUAGAUACCCUGGUAGUCCAUGCCGUAAACGUUGGGCACUAGGUGUGGGGGACAUUCCACGUUUUCCGCGCCGU